Molecule: ribosomal RNA, 293 nt
Filed under: uncultured bacterium
Lineage: Bacteria
Description: partial 16S ribosomal RNA
Rfam family: Bacterial small subunit ribosomal RNA
Source: RNAcentral
AACGAACGCUGGCGGCAGGCCUAACACAUGCAAGUCGAACGCCCUAGCAAUAGGGAGUGGCAGACGGGUGAGUAACACGUGGGAACCUUCCCUAUAGUACGGAAUAUACCAGGGAAACUUGGAGCAAUACCGUAUACGCCCGAGAGGGGAAAGAUUUAUCGCUAUAGGAUGGGCCCGGCGUAGGAUUAGCUAGUUGGUGAGGUAAUGGCUCACCAAGGCGACGAUCCUUAGCUGGUUUGAGAGAACGACCAGCCACACUGGGACUGAGACACGGCCCAGACUCCUACGGGAGG